GAUGAAGAACGUAGCGAAAUGCGAUAAGUAAUGUGAAUUGCAGAAUUCAGUGAAUCAUCGAAUCUUUGAACGCAUCUUGCGCUCCUUGGUAUUCCUUGGAGCAUGCCUGUUUGAGUAUCAUGAGCAAACCUCAAAGUCAAUUCCUUUUGUUAAUUCAAUUGGUUUUGCUUUGGACUUGGAGGUCUUGCAGAUUUCACAGUCUGCUCCUCUUAAAUGCAUUAGCUGGAUCUCAGUAAUUAUGCUUGGUUCCACUCGGCGUGAUAAGUAUCACUCGCUGAGGACACUGUUAAAAAGGUGGCCAGGAAAAUACUGAUUGAACCGCUUCUAACGGUCUAUUAAGUUAGACAAUUACCCUGAAGUUUGAUCUCAAAUCAGGUAGGACUACCCGCUGAACUUAAGCAUAUCAAUAAGCGGAGGA
This 418-nucleotide unclassified non-coding RNA is filed under the name soil metagenome. Its description in RNAcentral is "partial contains 5.8S ribosomal RNA, internal transcribed spacer 2, and large subunit ribosomal RNA". The stretch from base 1 to 120 matches the Rfam family "5.8S ribosomal RNA", at positions 35 to 154 of the family's 154-position model. The record is from RNAcentral.